AGCGAACGCUGGCGGCAGGCCUAACACAUGCAAGUCGAACGAACCUUUCGGGGUUAGUGGCGGACGGGUGAGUAACACGUGGGAACGUGCCUUUAGGUUCGGAAUAACUCAGGGAAACUUGUGCUAAUACCGAAUGUGCCCUUCGGGGGAAAGAUUUAUCGCCUUUAGAGCGGCCCGCGUCUGAUUAGCUAGUUGGUUGAGGUAAUGGCUCACCAAGGCGACGAUCAGUAGCUGGUCUGAGAGGAUGAUCAGCCACAUUGGGACUGAGACACGGCCCACACUCCUACGGGAGGCAGCAGUGGGGAAUCUUACGCAAUGGGCGAAAGUCUGACGCAGCCAUGCCGCGUGAAUGAUGAAGGUCUUAGGAUUGUAAAAUUCUUUCACCGGGGACGAUAAUGACGGUACCCGGAGAAGAAGCCCCGGCUAACUUCGUG
RNAcentral lists this ribosomal RNA (434 nucleotides) under uncultured bacterium. Its description in RNAcentral is "partial 16S ribosomal RNA". It matches the Rfam family "Bacterial small subunit ribosomal RNA", at positions 29 to 507 of the family's 1533-position model. The record is from RNAcentral.